This 1359-nucleotide ribosomal RNA is filed under the name uncultured bacterium. RNAcentral's name for it is "bacterial SSU rRNA". It matches the Rfam family "Bacterial small subunit ribosomal RNA", at positions 28 to 1381 of the family's 1533-position model. The record is from RNAcentral.
GAUGAACGCUAGCUACAGGCUUAACACAUGCAAGUCGAGGGGCAGCAUUUCAGUUUGCUUGCAAACUGGAGAUGGCGACCGGCGCACGGGUGAGUAACACGUAUCCAACCUGCCGAUAACUCGGGGAUAGCCUUUCGAAAGAAAGAUUAAUACCCGAUGGCAUAAUUAGACCGCAUGGUCUUAUUAUUAAAGAAUUUCGGUUAUCGAUGGGGAUGCGUUCCAUUAGGCAGUUGGUGAGGUAACGGCUCACCAAACCUUCGAUGGAUAGGGGUUCUGAGAGGAAGGUCCCCCACAUUGGAACUGAGACACGGUCCAAACUCCUACGGGAGGCAGCAGUGAGGAAUAUUGGUCAAUGGGCGCAGGCCUGAACCAGCCAAGUAGCGUGAAGGAUGACUGCCCUAUGGGUUGUAAACUUCUUUUAUAUGGGAAUAAAGUUUUCCACGUGUGGAAUUUUGUAUGUACCAUAUGAAUAAGGAUCGGCUAACUCCGUGCCAGCAGCCGCGGUAAUACGGAGGAUCCGAGCGUUAUCCGGAUUUAUUGGGUUUAAAGGGAGCGUAGGUGGACAGUUAAGUCAGUUGUGAAAGUUUGCGGCUCAACCGUAAAAUUGCAGUUGAUACUGGCUGUCUUGAGUACAGUAGAGGUGGGCGGAAUUCGUGGUGUAGCGGUGAAAUGCUUAGAUAUCACGAAGAACUCCGAUUGCGAAGGCAGCUCACUGGACUGCAACUGACACUGAUGCUCGAAAGUGUGGGUAUCAAACAGGAUUAGAUACCCUGGUAGUCCACACAGUAAACGAUGAAUACUCGCUGUUUGCGAUAUACAGUAAGCGGCCAAGCGAAAGCAUUAAGUAUUCCACCUGGGGAGUACGCCGGCAACGGUGAAACUCAAAGGAAUUGACGGGGGCCCGCACAAGCGGAGGAACAUGUGGUUUAAUUCGAUGAUACGCGAGGAACCUUACCCGGGCUUAAAUUGCGUUUGAAUAUAUUGGAAACAGUAUAGCCGUAAGGCAAAUGUGAAGGUGCUGCAUGGUUGUCGUCAGCUCGUGCCGUGAGGUGUCGGCUUAAGUGCCAUAACGAGCGCAACCCUUAUCUUUAGUUACUAACAGGUCAUGCUGAGGACUCUAGAGAGACUGCCGUCGUAAGAUGUGAGGAAGGUGGGGAUGACGUCAAAUCAGCACGGCCCUUACGUCCGGGGCUACACACGUGUUACAAUGGGGGGUACAGAAGGCAGCUACCUGGUGACAGGAUGCUAAUCUCAAAAGCCUCUCUCAGUUCGGAUCGAAGUCUGCAACCCGACUUCGUGAAGCUGGAUUCGCUAGUAAUCGCGCAUCAGCCAUGGCGCGGUGAAUACGUUCCCGGGCCU